This 497-nucleotide ribosomal RNA is filed under the name uncultured bacterium. Its description in RNAcentral is "partial 16S ribosomal RNA". It matches the Rfam family "Bacterial small subunit ribosomal RNA", at positions 28 to 507 of the family's 1533-position model. The record is from RNAcentral.
GAUGAACGCUGGCGGCGUGCCUAAUACAUGCAAGUCGAGCGAACGGACGAGACUCUUGCUUCUCUGAUGUUAGCGGCGGACGGGUGAGUAACACGUGGAUACCCUACCUAUAAGACUGGGAUAACUUCGGGAAACCUGAUCUAAUACCGGAUAAUAUUUUGAACCGCAUGGUUCAACAGUGAAAGACGUUCUUGCUGUCACUUAUAGAUGUAUCCUCGCUGCAUUAGCUAGUUGGUAAGGUAACGGCUUACCAAGGCAACGAUGCAUAGCCGACCUGAGAGGGUGAUCGGACACACUGGAACUGAGACACGGUCCAGACUCCUACGGGAGGCAGCAGUAGGGAAUCUUCCGCAAUGGGCGAAAGCCUGACGGAGCAACGCCGCGUGAGUGAUGAAGGUCUUCGGAUCGUAAAACUCUGUUAGUAGGGAAGAACAUAUGUGUAAGUAACUGUGCACAUCUUGACGGUACCUAAUCAGAAAGCCACGGCUAACUACGUG